RNAcentral lists this long non-coding RNA (896 nucleotides) under Phoenix dactylifera (date palm). RNAcentral's name for it is "long non-coding RNA (PDAC_LNC006690)". Lineage: Eukaryota; Viridiplantae; Streptophyta; Magnoliopsida; Arecales; Arecaceae. The record is from RNAcentral.
CAUCUCCUUCCCGAGUUUCUAAGAUUCCUUCGAUUUUAGUUUUUUGAGUCUUUUAGGCUAACAACUUGAGAUAAAGUUCACUUUUAGAUGGCAUGAUUUCCUCCCAUUUAAGGUUCUUUGGGGUGAAAAUUUAUUCUUGCAUUUGGCUUGAAAAAGUAUUGUUAAUCCUUUUAGAGUGGCUUGUUUCGGUCCUAGGGCAAUGGUGGUCAUAGUCUUGUAGUAACUCUUUGGUUACGAUAGUAUUUUUGUUCCUGAUUUUACAUCACAUCUUGAUAUUUGCAAAUUUAAGAUCAAGUAGUCUAAAAUAUUAAGAUUAGUCAUGAAGAUCGAAAAAUCUAGAAAGAUAUUGAAUAAUAUCAUUCCAUUUUUCAGACUAGCUUCUAUUAGGUCUAGGAGCGCAUUGGAGAAUUUUAAAUUCCUGUAAUCUCUAACAUAUUUUAGGACUGAAGCAUCCUGACCUUUUCUUAAUUGUCAAGGAUCUUGUGCCAACCUGAACAAGCCUUUUAUGGAGAUAUUGGUGUCCUUCUUAGAACAAAUCUCUUCUAAAUCCUCCUUUCCUAACAAUUGAAGAGCCUUCUAGACUGAAUCAAUAGAUAGAAAUUUCUUUAUGAUCUUUGCACACGCAUGCCCACCUCUCCAUGUUGAUGUCCAUUCUCCAACCCAGCACUAUUCAUAAAAAUACCACUUGCCAUACGAAUUCCUUAUGGUGCAUGGUUCCAACAACAGCAUUACUCUGCACAUUGGAUGCUGAUGAAGCUGGUAAUCAGAACUAUAUUGCAGGUUUUCAAAUCAUUGCUUAAUAAUUAUUUUUAAGAUGUUACAGACUAUUUGGCUGAAAAUUUUGAACACUUACUCAUAAUUAUUCAACAUACGUAACAUAAUGGAGAGCGCUCAAA